Molecule: ribosomal RNA, 362 nt
Filed under: uncultured bacterium
Lineage: Bacteria
Description: partial 16S ribosomal RNA
Rfam family: Bacterial small subunit ribosomal RNA
Source: RNAcentral
CCUACUGGUGGCAGCAGUGAGGAAUAUUGGUCAAUGGCCGGAAGGCUGAACCAGCCAUGCCGCGUGAAGGUCAGUGCCCUAUGGGCGGUAAACUUCUUUUGUGCGGGAGCAAUAAUGGUCACGUGUGGCCAGACGAGAGUACCGUACGAAUAAGCAUCGGCUAACUCCGUGCCAGCAGCCGCGGUAAUACGGGUGAUGCAAGCGUUAUCCGGAGUUAUUGGGGUUGAAGGGUGCGUAAGCUGUGAGGUAAGUCAGCGGUGAAAUGCCCCCGCUCGACGGGGUGAAGUGCCAUUGAUACUGGCUUGCUAGAAUGCGGAUGCGGUGGGAGGAAUGUGAGGUGUAGCGGUGAAAUGCAUAGAUAU